UACGUAGGGUGCAAGCGUUGUCCGGAAUUAUUGGGCGUAAAGAGCUCGUAGGCGGUUUGUCGCGUCUGCUGUGAAAACUCGGGGCUUAACUCCGGGCCUGCAGUGGUUACGGGCAGACUAGAGUGCGGUAGGGGAGACUGGAAUUCCUGGUGUAGCGGUGAAAUGCGCAGAUAUCAGGAGGAACACCGGUGGCGAAGGCGGCUCACUGGACCGGAACUGACGCUGAGGCGCGAAAGCUAGGGGAGCAAACAGG
RNAcentral lists this ribosomal RNA (253 nucleotides) under uncultured bacterium. RNAcentral describes it as "partial 16S ribosomal RNA". It matches the Rfam family "Bacterial small subunit ribosomal RNA", at positions 524 to 776 of the family's 1533-position model. The record is from RNAcentral.